GAUGAACGCUGGCGGCGCGCCUAACACAUGCAAGUCGAACGAUUAAAGCACCUUCGGGUGUGUAUAAAGUGGCGAACGGCUGAGUAACACGUGGGCAACCUGCCCCUUUCAUUGGGAUAGCCACGGGAAACCGUGGAUAAUACCGAAUACUUCGAGACUUCCGCAUGGAAGACUCGAGAAAGCUCCGGCGGUGAGGGAUGGGCCCGCGGCCUGUUAGCUUGUUGGUGGGGUAACGGCCUACCAAGGCAAUGAUGGGUAGCUGGGUUGAGAGACCGACCAGCCAGAUUGGGACUGAGACACGGCACAGACUCCUACGGGAGGCAGCAGUGGGGAAUCUUGCACAAUGGGAGAAAGCCUGAUGCAGCGACGCCGCGUGCGGGAUGAAGGCCUUCGGGUUGUAAACCGCUUUCAGCAGGGACGAGGCGAAAGUGACGGUACCUGCAGAAGAAGCCCCGGCUAACUACGUG
RNAcentral lists this ribosomal RNA (467 nucleotides) under uncultured bacterium. RNAcentral's name for it is "partial 16S ribosomal RNA". It matches the Rfam family "Bacterial small subunit ribosomal RNA", at positions 28 to 507 of the family's 1533-position model. The record is from RNAcentral.